RNAcentral lists this ribosomal RNA (520 nucleotides) under uncultured bacterium. RNAcentral describes it as "bacterial SSU rRNA". It matches the Rfam family "Bacterial small subunit ribosomal RNA", at positions 8 to 526 of the family's 1533-position model. The record is from RNAcentral.
AGAGUUUGAUCCUGGCUCAGAAUGAACGUUGGCGGCGUGGAUUAGGCAUGCAAGUCGAGCGAGAACCCCGCAAGGGGGGACAGCGGCAAACGGGGUAGUAACGGGUAGGUGACGUACCCUCGGGUCGGGGAUAGCCACGGGAAACUGUGGGUAAUACCCGAUAACCUCCUGAAGCGUGAUGGUUUCGGGAGCAAAGGUGUGAUUCCACCGGAGGAGCGGCCUGCUUCGUAUUAGCUAGUUGGUGAGGUAACGGCUCACCAAGGCGACGAUGCGUCGGGGGUGUGAGAGCAUGACCCCCACCACUGGGACUGAGAUACUGCCCAGACACCUACGGGUGGCUGCAGUCGAGAAUCUUCGGCAAUGGGCGCAAGCCUGACCGAGCGACGCCGCGUGUGGGAUGAAGGCCCUUGGGUUGUAAACCACUGUCAGAGGGGAUGAAAUGCACGCCAGCAAUCUGGUGUGUUUGACAUAGCCUCAGAGGAAGCACGGGCUAAGUUCGUGCCAGCCGCCGCGGUAAUAC